GGGCGUUUAUUCCGUAAGUGGUAGCGGAGGGGAUUGUAAAUCCCCGGUCAUUGCGACUCGAGUGGUUCGACUCCAUUAACGCCCACCA
This 88-nucleotide transfer RNA is filed under the name Escherichia phage IrisVonRoten. RNAcentral describes it as "tRNA-Tyr". It matches the Rfam family "tRNA". Rfam says of the family: Transfer RNA (tRNA) molecules are approximately 80 nucleotides in length. The record is from RNAcentral. Lineage: Duplodnaviria; Heunggongvirae; Uroviricota; Caudoviricetes; Demerecviridae.